This 299-nucleotide ribosomal RNA is filed under the name uncultured bacterium. RNAcentral's name for it is "partial 16S ribosomal RNA". It matches the Rfam family "Bacterial small subunit ribosomal RNA", at positions 333 to 650 of the family's 1533-position model. The record is from RNAcentral.
AUACCCUACGGGGGGCAGCAGUGGGGGAUAUUGGACAAUGGGGGAAACCCUGAUCCAGCGAUGCCGCGUGAGGGAAGAAGGUUUUCGGAUUGUAAACCUCUGUGGAGGGGGACGAUAAUGACGGUACCCCUUUAGGAAGCCACGGCUAACUACGUGCCAGCAGCCGCGGUAAUACGUAGGUGGCGAGCGUUGUCCGGAAUUACUGGGUGUAAAGGGAGUGUAGGCGGGAAAGCAAGUCAGGAGGGAAAACUAUGGGCUUAACCCAUAGGCUGCUUUUGAAACUGGUUUUCUUGAGGGAA